This is a non-coding RNA of Schistosoma haematobium, 45 nucleotides long. The record is from Rfam. NCBI's taxonomy places the organism in Eukaryota, Metazoa, Platyhelminthes, Trematoda, Strigeidida, Schistosomatidae.
AUCCAGUUGACGAUUCCCAAAUAGGACGGAACCCUCGUCCUGGAU